GAACGUCGUGAGACAGUUCGGUCCAUAUCCGGUGUAGGCGUUAGAAUAUUGAGAGGAGCCUUCUUUAGUACGAGAGGACCGAGAAGGACACACCACUGGUGUACCAGUUAUCAUGCCAAUGGUAAACGCUGGGUAGCUAAGUGUGGAGUGGAUAACCGCUGAAAGCAUCUAAGCGGGAAGCCCCUUCCAAGAUGAGAUCUCCCUGGACCCUUGAGGUCCCUGAAGAGCCGUUCAAGACCAGGACGUUGAUAGGUCGGGUGUGUAAGCGCUGCGAGGCGUUGAGCUAACCGAUACUAAUUGCUCGU
This 305-nucleotide ribosomal RNA is filed under the name uncultured Bolidomonas. Its description in RNAcentral is "partial Bacterial large subunit ribosomal RNA". It matches the Rfam family "Bacterial large subunit ribosomal RNA", at positions 2614 to 2912 of the family's 2925-position model. The record is from RNAcentral. Lineage: Eukaryota; Bolidophyceae.